GCAUAUCAAUAAGCGGAGGAAAAGAAACCAACAGGGAUUGCCCUAGUAACGGCGAGUGAAGCGGCAACAGCUCAAAUUUGAAAUCUGGCUCUCUUUGGGGGUCCGAGUUGUAAUUUGCAGAGGAUGCUUUGGCAUUGGCGGCGGUCUAAGUUCCUUGGAACAGGACAUCGCAGAGGGUGAGAAUCCCGUACGUGGGCGCCUGCCUUUGCCGUGUAAAGCUCCUUCGACGAGUCGAGUUGUUUGGGAAUGCAGCUCUAAAUGGGAGGUAAAUUUCUUCUAAAGCUAAAUACCGGCCAGAGACCGAUAGCGCACAAGUAGAGUGAUCGAAAGAUGAAAAGUACUUUGGAAAGAGAGUCAAAAAGCACGUGAAAUUGUUGAAAGGGAAGCGCUUGCAGCCAGACUUGCCCGCAGUUGCUCACCUAGGCUUUGGCCUGGGGCACUCUUCUGCGGGCAGGCCAGCAUCAGUUUGGGCGGUUGGAUAAAGGCCUCUGUCACGUAUCUCCCUUCGGGGUGACCUUAUAGGGGAGGCGUAAUGCAACCAGCCCGGACUGAGGUCCGCGCAUCUGCUAGGAUGCUGGCGUAAUGGCUGUAAGCGGCCCGUCUUGAAACACGGACCAAGGAGUCUAACAUCUAUGCGAGUGUUUGGGUGUCAAGCCCGGGCGCGCAAUGAAAGUGAACGGAGGUGGGAACCCUUUGGGUGCACCAUCGACCGAUCCUGAUGUCUUCGGAUGGAUUUGAGUAAGAGCAUAGCUGUUGGGACCCGAAAGAUGGUGAACUAUGCUUGAAUAGGGUGAAGCCAGAGGAAACUCUGGUGGAGGCUCGCAGCGGUUCUGACGUGCAAAUCGAUCGUCAAAUUUGGGCAUAGGGGCGAAAGACUAAUCGAACCAUCUAGUAGCUGGUUCCUGCCG
RNAcentral lists this ribosomal RNA (908 nucleotides) under Paraconiothyrium fuckelii. Its description in RNAcentral is "eukaryotic LSU rRNA". It matches the Rfam family "Eukaryotic large subunit ribosomal RNA", at positions 38 to 963 of the family's 3401-position model. Lineage: Eukaryota; Fungi; Ascomycota; Dothideomycetes; Pleosporales; Didymosphaeriaceae. The record is from RNAcentral.